GAUAUUUUGAUGUAUGGGACAUCUUUUGUUCAUCAUUGGGCACCACAAUGAUUAAUGUCAUAUUUUUUUAUCAACAGUGAGUGUUAUUGCCCAUUCCCCUACCAGUUUACUUAUAUUUUGACCAAAAUAUCAUUGCCAUUACCAAAAGUUGAAUUUUGUGAUUAAAAAUUAUGAGUUAGCUACACUAUUUGCUUGAACAUCAUAAAGAUCAUUAUACUGUUGAUAAAGUUGGGCACCCCCGACUCAUUCGCUCUAGCUUCGCCACUGCCUCGGGCGGAGCAGGUGCAGGUACAGAGGGACAAGAGCCGACGGCGGUGAAGAGGGUGUGCUGAGCCUUCGUCUUGGCAUGCUCCUUGUUGUAUUGUUCCUCCAGGAGCAAGUAUGAGCGUGCCGACACGAAGGUGUGCGGCGGCAACUUUGACGUGAUGGCGGGGAUGGCAUGGCGAUAGCGGGAGUUGAGACCGCGCAGCAUGUUCAGCACCUGGCUCGUCUCACGCACUGGCUAGUCACCCUAGGCACAAAAAACCGAGAACCGAACUGAAAAACCGAGAACCGAAUCGAAUUAAUCGAAACCGAGAAAAUUGGUUCCUAAUUCGGUCCCUGGUUUUCAAGAACUGAAAUAUUUCAUGUUUAUUCAGUUCUUGGGCUCGGUUAACCGAAGAACCGAAGUAUGCUUGAAGCCCAGUAAAUGAAAGAGGCCCAGCCCAACAAGCAACAACCCUAGCUAUAUAAGCUAACAUAUCCAGCAGGCAAGCACCACUCAAUCCACUCCUUCUCAUUCCACCAUAGCCUAGUCAGCCGCCGCCACCCUGCUGGCUUGCUGGACUGCCGCUUCUCUCUCCCUCCGUCCUUCCCUGUUCCGCCUGCUCUCCUCUGUCUCCUCAGGAUCCGGUGUCCAGCUCUCCCUUCUAUUUCCCAAGCGGUGGCGCAUUCCCUUGCCCUUCCUUGCAGGCUGCAGCACCACGGUGGCCACAGUAGGAGUGCCCGGUGGCGUCGGCUCCCUGGUGGCCUCCCAUCGCUCGCGCGUGGUCUGCAUCCCAGGUUCCGACGGUGUUGCACAGGCUCCAUCAGAGGCGGAUUGUGUUGCGGCGAUUUUUUUGUUCUUUUUCGUUGGAUGUUGCCAUCGAUCUAUGUAUUUUGGUUCUCAAUUUGACUUUUUAUUCUUGUAAUUCGUUAGUGUUGGAUUUGAGGUCGGUUCAUUCGGUUUAUAACCAAACCAAACCAAGAAGAACUGAAAUCGAAAUGCUCGGUUCUCACAAAUUUUAGGAACCGAACAGUUCUUGUUUUUGGAGAACCGAAUUUUGCAGGGGACCGAGGAACCUACACUACUACAGAUAUGAUCAUUGCAAACGGCUCAUCACCGCCGGUUUGAAACAACCCGACGGUGAUAGUAUAUCAGCGCCGGUUCUAAAUUAACCCGACGGUGAUAGUCACUCAUCACCAACGGGUCGUAUUACGAAUCAGCGGUGAUAGGUUUUCAAACAUCACCACCGGGUCUUAAUACGAACCAGCGGUGAUAGUUAGACAUUACCGCCGGAUCAUAUUACGACCCGGCAAUGAUGCCAAUUUUUUUUCAUAUCUGGUUUCUCUCCGUCUCCUGUCUGUCUCCCCCUUCCACAUCUUCCAUCUCCCUCCCUCUCCCGUCUUUUGUCUUCCCUCCCCUCCCCUCCCCGUCUCUUCCUUCUUCCUCCACGGGGCCCCUCCUCUCCCCGCGUCUCCUCCAGUGCCGCGCGGCGCACGGAUCCCCUCCCCUCCAUGACUCUCCUCCCGUGCUGUGUGGGGGUGUGGACGCGGCGGCGCGGCGCAGCUAGCGUGGCGGCGGCGGGGAGCAGCAACCGGCUAGGCGCGGUGCUGCACGGAGUGGUGGCGCUGCAUGCGGUUCAAAAAUGAGAAGGUCACGCUAGCUUGUUCCCCUCCCUUCUCUUAGAGUUUUUUGUUUGAUGCUGCAGGUUGCUAGCUGCAAAUGCAUUUGUGUAAUUGAGGGGUUGGGCGUUGGGUAUUUUGCUCGAAAUGCCCCGCUGAAUGAUAAUUGAGGAGCUGCGUGGUGCUGAAUUGCUGAUUGGUAGUCACUAGUCAGUUCGGGAGGGUAGUUCCGCGGUGUAGUUUUGAGCCGUCCUAGUUUCAGACUGUUCGACGUCUGAUAGAAUUAUACUUUGUUCAGCUACAUCUUUUGGUCGCGUGGGCAUUGCUGUCUAUUGUCUCAAGUCUCAACUGUGAAUGAUUGCAACAGUCUGCCAAGGAGACCUACCAUUUUUAAUGAUUUAGGGGUAUCAAUCUCAUCAGCUCAUGCAGACUGCCGCAGCUUUUAAGGCGGCUUUUACUUUACUAUCAUGCACAAUUAGCACCAUUUAGUGUCCAAUAUGUGUUAUAUCUUUUACUAAAAUAUUUUUCAGGUAGGUAACAUUGGUGGGAAAGAAUUUUCUGAGUCACUAGCCCCAGAUGUCCAGAAACUUCUUAUUUCAAGUAGCGGCCGUCCUGUUGUCAGAAAGAAGGCUGCUCUAUGCCUUCUGCGGCUUUAUAGAAAGAAUCCUGAUGUUGUGAAUAUUGAUGUCUGGUAGUAAUAUUAUAGAAUAUAGAAGUACUACAUAAUACUCUACCGAAUAUAAUAUGAUAAUUGGAUUCUGCAUAUCAGGGCUGAUCGAAUGGCACAACUUCUAGAUGAGCGCUACCUAGGUGUGCUGACAUCUGUCAUGACUCAUGACCCUUUUUGUUUCAUUAGUAUCCAACAAUGCGGAAGCAUAUUGGAAUUGCCUUCCAGAAUGUGUAAGAAUUAAUACUGGAGAGGCUAGCAAGAAAUCAAGAUAUUCCACAGGAAUACACUUACUACGGAAUCCCAUCUCCUUAGCUUCAGGGAUGAUGUGGCUCUGGAAAUCCUCCAACAUGAUCCCUUCGUGGUAAAAUAGUUGCAGUUCUCUCAGAUUUGCAUUUUAUUCUUCGGCUAAGGUUGUUGUGUAUGUAUUUCCAUCUUUUUACAAAUCUGAUUGUCUCAUGUCUUGUUGACAUUUUGCAUGCUCUUCUGAAUUUUGAAGUCAUGUAUGUUCUGUCCAAUUUCCAUGUAAUAAGUCACAUUGUUAAUAUAUAGGAUCAUAUCAAGUGCCCAGCCAGAGAGUAAUGGGCAGCUUGUUAAGUUUGCUACAGAGAGAGGCUCAAAAACUAGGCUUGAUGUAUGAACUCUUUGUUUUAAUCUUGAUGUAUGAACCCUUUCGUUUAAUCUCGAUGUAUGAGCUCAUGUGAUUGAAUUCUGCUGCUAUAAUGAUAUAUUAUAUAUGUUGUACAAA
Molecule: long non-coding RNA, 3278 nt
Organism: Panicum virgatum (switchgrass)
Lineage: Eukaryota; Viridiplantae; Streptophyta; Magnoliopsida; Poales; Poaceae
Exons: 3
Source: RefSeq, a predicted model, not a curated record